RNAcentral lists this ribosomal RNA (916 nucleotides) under uncultured archaeon. RNAcentral's name for it is "bacterial SSU rRNA". It matches the Rfam family "Archaeal small subunit ribosomal RNA", at positions 1 to 922 of the family's 1478-position model. The record is from RNAcentral.
UCCGGUUGAUCCUGCCGGAGGCUACUGCUAUUGGAGUUCGAUUAAGCCAUGCGAGUCUAAGGGAUACUUGUAUCCCUGGCAUAAUGCUCAGUAACACGUGGAUAAUCUACCCUCAGGUGGGGCAUAAACCCGGGAAACUGGGGCCAAUUCCCCAUAGAUACAGAUGGCUGGAAUGCUUCUGUGUUCAAAGCUCCGGCGCCUGAGGAUGAGUCUGCGGCCUAUCAGGUUGUAGUCAGGGUCAUGACCUGACUAGCCAGCGACGGGUACGGGGUGUGAGAGCACUUGCCCGGAGAUGGUUUCUGAGACACGAAACCAGGCCCUACGGGGCGCAGCAGGCGCGAAAACUUCGCAAUGCGGGAAACCGUGACGAGGGAACUCCAAGUGUCUAUGCAUUGCAUAGACUGUUUUUUAGCCUAAAUAGCUAUUAGAGUAAGGGGUGGGAAAGACCGGUGCCAGCCGCCGCGGUAACACCGGCACCUCGAGUGGUAGCCACUAUUAUUGGGCCUAAAGCGUUCGUAGCCGGUUUGGUAAAUUCUUGGGUAAAUCGUACCGCUUAACGGUGCGGAUUCCGGGGACACUACCAGACUUGAGACCGGGGGAGAUCAGAGGUACUUGCGGGGGAGCGGUGAAAUGUUGUAAUCCCGCAGGGACCACCAGUGGCGAAGGCGUCUGAUCAGAACGGCUCUGACGGUGAGGAACGAAACCCUGGGGCGCAAACGGGAUUAGAUACCCCGGUAGUCCAGGGCGUAAACGCUGCUGACUUGGUGUUGGAGAUCCCAUGAGGAUGUCCAGUGCUGGCGCGAAGGUAUUAAGUCAGCCGCCUGGGGAGUACGGUCGCAAGACUGAAACUUAAAGGAAUUGGCGGGGGAGCACUGCAACGUGUGGAGCGUGCGGUUUAAUUGGAUUCAACGCCGGG